CCUACGGGGGGCAGCAGUGGGGGAUAUUGCACAAUGGGGGAAACCCUGAUGCAGCGACGCCGCGUGGGUGAAGAAGCGCCUCGGCGCGUAAAGCCCUGUCAGCAGGGAAGAAAAUGACGGUACCUGAAGAAGAAGCCCCGGCAAACUACGUGCCAGCAGCCGCGGUAAUACGUAGGGGGCAAGCGUUAUCCGGAUUUACUGGGUGUAAAGGGGGCGCAGAUGGCGGUGCAAGCCAGGAGUGAAAGCCCGGGGCCCAACCCCGGGACUGCUCUUGGAACUGCGUGGCUAGAGUGCAGGAGGGGCAGGCGGAAUUCCUGGUGUAGCGGUGAAAUGCGUAGAUAUCAGGAGGAACACCGGUGGCGAAGGCGGCCUGCUGGACUGCAACUGACGUUGAGGCCCGAAAGCGUGGGGAGCAAACAGGAUUAGAUACCCUUGUAGUC
RNAcentral lists this ribosomal RNA (440 nucleotides) under uncultured bacterium. RNAcentral describes it as "partial 16S ribosomal RNA". It matches the Rfam family "Bacterial small subunit ribosomal RNA", at positions 338 to 795 of the family's 1533-position model. The record is from RNAcentral.